GAAUCCUAUAGUGACAAGAAUGAUGAUGAACUUGGACAUAUAAUUGGCCUAGAUGAGUGGCAUUUGGAUUAGUGUAAUAGAGACACUAUAACAAGAACGAGUGGCAUGUCAAUUUAGUGUAUUGAGACACAUACAACCUCAUGACAUAUUGAGUGGCAUUUGGAUUAGUGUAAUAAAGACACUAUAAUAAGAACGAGUAGCAUGUCAAUUUAGUGUGUCGAGACACAUAUAACAUCAUGACAUAAUGAGUGGCAUCAAAUCUAGUAUAGUGGAACACUAUGGCAUUUGAACCUAGGGAUAGUAGAUUUUUCCAAU
This 315-nucleotide long non-coding RNA is filed under the name Ananas comosus (pineapple). Its description in RNAcentral is "long non-coding RNA (ACOM_LNC025688)". Lineage: Eukaryota; Viridiplantae; Streptophyta; Magnoliopsida; Poales; Bromeliaceae. The record is from RNAcentral.